GAUGAAUAACGUAGCGAAAUGCGAUAAGUAAUGUGAAUUGCAGAAUUCAGUGAAUCAUCGAAUCUUUGAACGCACAUUGCGCCCAUUAGUAUUCUAGUGGGCAUGCCUGUUCGAGCGUCAUUUCAACCCUCAAGCCUUAGUUGCUUGGUGUUGGGAGCUUAUCUUGCCGAAAGGCGGGACAACUCCUUAAAUUUAUCGGCGGAGUCGCGGUGACCCCAAGCGUAGUAAAUUAUUUUUUCCUCGCUUUAGGUGUUAACGCUGGCUUUUCUAGCCGUUAAACCCCCCCUAAUAUUUUAAUGGUUGACCUCGGAUCAGGUAGGACUACCCGCUGAACUUAAGCAUAUCAAUAAGCGGAGGA
RNAcentral lists this unclassified non-coding RNA (358 nucleotides) under soil metagenome. RNAcentral describes it as "partial contains 5.8S ribosomal RNA, internal transcribed spacer 2, and large subunit ribosomal RNA". The stretch from base 1 to 120 matches the Rfam family "5.8S ribosomal RNA", at positions 35 to 154 of the family's 154-position model. The record is from RNAcentral.